RNAcentral lists this long non-coding RNA (601 nucleotides) under Brassica napus (rape). RNAcentral's name for it is "long non-coding RNA (BNAP_LNC015733)". Lineage: Eukaryota; Viridiplantae; Streptophyta; Magnoliopsida; Brassicales; Brassicaceae. The record is from RNAcentral.
UUAUAACCAAAGAAGCAAGUUUCUCAAUGUUCUCAAGCAUGAAAAUGACAAUUAAGUAUGUUUUCAUUGAACAAUUGUUGGUCAAAAUUGGCAAUGUUGGCAAUUUCGAAUAUUCCCAAAUCUCAAGAACCCUAAUCUUUUCAAUUUCGGAUUCUACACAUUUCUACCACAAAAUUAGCAACCCAACAUGAUAUAUAAGAUUUUCCUAGUCAAAUUCAUAAGAAUCAAGGAAGAAACUAAGCUAAAUUCGAGUUUUAAUUUCUAGGGUUCAUGAACCCACGAAAUUCAUCUUUGAAUUUCCAUACCUUGCUUGGAUUAGAAUGAAAAGAUGAAUUGAUUCAAGAAAAUAGACUAUAGGGGCGAAAGCUUGGAUUUAGAAACAAGAAUGGGCUGAUUUGGUUAAGAUUUGAGUGAGUUAUGGGGUUUUUUUUUUUGUUGGGAAAUUUGAGAGAUUGUGUUUGUGUUUGGGGGAGAAGUGGGGAAAACGAGAGAGAGAGAGAGACGGGCGCGGGGUAGGGUUAGGGUUAGGUCGGGUCGGGUCAUCGGGUUUCGGGUCAAGAAAUCAUACCUGGGCUGUCGUGGAGCGGCUUCGGUACCUCGC